CCUUUGACUAUACGAAGGUAUUGAAAUAAGAUCUUAAAUGGGUGCUAAGAGAAUGGUUGAACAAAGGUUUUCUUUCUAAAAAUAAAUUACUAGAAGUUGGUUUUUAUGUGAAAAAACAUAAAUUAUAUUUUGGGACAAGAAGACCCUAUGAAUUUUUAUUUUAUAUAAGUAAUUAUAUUAUUUAUAUAAAAUUUGAUUGGGGUGAUUUUUAAAGAUUAGGAAUCUUUAGAUUUAUUAAGAUGAUCCGUUAUUUAACGAUUUUAUGAAAAAAAUACUCUAGGGAUAACAGCGUAAUAAUUUUGGAUAGUUCUUAUUGAUAAAAUUGAUUGCGACCUCGAUGUUGGAUUAAGAUUCUUAUUUAAUGAAGAAGUUAAAUUAAGAAGUUUGCUCAACUUUUAAUACCUUACUUGAUCUGAGUUCAGACCGG
RNAcentral lists this ribosomal RNA (427 nucleotides) under Argas persicus. RNAcentral describes it as "partial large subunit ribosomal RNA". The stretch from base 133 to 427 matches the Rfam family "Bacterial large subunit ribosomal RNA", at positions 2078 to 2619 of the family's 2925-position model. The record is from RNAcentral. Lineage: Eukaryota; Metazoa; Arthropoda; Arachnida; Ixodida; Argasidae.